GGCGCAGUGGACGAAAUGGGAGAGUCACCGCGUCUUCACCGCGGGGUUUGCGGGUUCGAGUCCCGUCUGCGCUGCGA
RNAcentral lists this transfer RNA (77 nucleotides) under Kribbella albertanoniae. Its description in RNAcentral is "tRNA-Glu". It matches the Rfam family "tRNA". From Rfam's summary of the family: Transfer RNA (tRNA) molecules are approximately 80 nucleotides in length. The record is from RNAcentral. Lineage: Bacteria; Bacillati; Actinomycetota; Actinomycetes; Propionibacteriales; Kribbellaceae.